Molecule: ribosomal RNA, 2923 nt
Filed under: Staphylococcus aureus
Lineage: Bacteria; Bacillati; Bacillota; Bacilli; Caryophanales; Staphylococcaceae
Description: 23S ribosomal RNA
Rfam family: Bacterial large subunit ribosomal RNA
Source: RNAcentral
GAUUAAGUUAUUAAGGGCGCAUGGUGGAUGCCUUGGCACUAGAAGCCGAUGAAGGACGUUACUAACGACGAUAUGCUUUGGGGAGCUGUAAGUAAGCUUUGAUCCAGAGAUUUCCGAAUGGGGAAACCCAGCAUGAGUUAUGUCAUGUUAUCGAUAUGUGAAUACAUAGCAUAUCAGAAGGCACACCCGGAGAACUGAAACAUCUUAGUACCCGGAGGAAGAGAAAGAAAAUUCGAUUCCCUUAGUAGCGGCGAGCGAAACGGGAAGAGCCCAAACCAACAAGCUUGCUUGUUGGGGUUGUAGGACACUCUAUACGGAGUUACAAAGGACGACAUUAGACGAAUCAUCUGGAAAGAUGAAUCAAAGAAGGUAAUAAUCCUGUAGUCGAAAAUGUUGUCUCUCUUGAGUGGAUCCUGAGUACGACGGAGCACGUGAAAUUCCGUCGGAAUCUGGGAGGACCAUCUCCUAAGGCUAAAUACUCUCUAGUGACCGAUAGUGAACCAGUACCGUGAGGGAAAGGUGAAAAGCACCCCGGAAGGGGAGUGAAAUAGAACCUGAAACCGUGUGCUUACAAGUAGUCAGAGCCCGUUAAUGGGUGAUGGCGUGCCUUUUGUAGAAUGAACCGGCGAGUUACGAUUUGAUGCAAGGUUAAGCAGUAAAUGUGGAGCCGUAGCGAAAGCGAGUCUGAAUAGGGCGUUUAGUAUUUGGUCGUAGACCCGAAACCAGGUGAUCUACCCUUGGUCAGGUUGAAGUUCAGGUAACACUGAAUGGAGGACCGAACCGACUUACGUUGAAAAGUGAGCGGAUGAACUGAGGGUAGCGGAGAAAUUCCAAUCGAACCUGGAGAUAGCUGGUUCUCUCCGAAAUAGCUUUAGGGCUAGCCUCAAGUGAUGAUUAUUGGAGGUAGAGCACUGUUUGGACGAGGGGCCCCUCUCGGGUUACCGAAUUCAGACAAACUCCGAAUGCCAAUUAAUUUAACUUGGGAGUCAGAACAUGGGUGAUAAGGUCCGUGUUCGAAAGGGAAACAGCCCAGACCACCAGCUAAGGUCCCAAAAUAUAUGUUAAGUGGAAAAGGAUGUGGCGUUGCCCAGACAACUAGGAUGUUGGCUUAGAAGCAGCCAUCAUUUAAAGAGUGCGUAAUAGCUCACUAGUCGAGUGACACUGCGCCGAAAAUGUACCGGGGCUAAACAUAUUACCGAAGCUGUGGAUUGUCCUUUGGACAAUGGUAGGAGAGCGUUCUAAGGGCGUUGAAGCAUGAUCGUAAGGACAUGUGGAGCGCUUAGAAGUGAGAAUGCCGGUGUGAGUAGCGAAAGACGGGUGAGAAUCCCGUCCACCGAUUGACUAAGGUUUCCAGAGGAAGGCUCGUCCGCUCUGGGUUAGUCGGGUCCUAAGCUGAGGCCGACAGGCGUAGGCGAUGGAUAACAGGUUGAUAUUCCUGUACCACCUAUAAUCGUUUUAAUCGAUGGGGGGACGCAGUAGGAUAGGCGAAGCGUGCGAUUGGAUUGCACGUCUAAGCAGUAAGGCUGAGUAUUAGGCAAAUCCGGUACUCGUUAAGGCUGAGCUGUGAUGGGGAGAAGACAUUGUGUCUUCGAGUCGUUGAUUUCACACUGCCGAGAAAAGCCUCUAGAUAGAAAAUAGGUGCCCGUACCGCAAACCGACACAGGUAGUCAAGAUGAGAAUUCUAAGGUGAGCGAGCGAACUCUCGUUAAGGAACUCGGCAAAAUGACCCCGUAACUUCGGGAGAAGGGGUGCUCUUUAGGGUUAACGCCCAGAAGAGCCGCAGUGAAUAGGCCCAAGCGACUGUUUAUCAAAAACACAGGUCUCUGCUAAACCGUAAGGUGAUGUAUAGGGGCUGACGCCUGCCCGGUGCUGGAAGGUUAAGAGGAGUGGUUAGCUUCUGCGAAGCUACGAAUCGAAGCCCCAGUAAACGGCGGCCGUAACUAUAACGGUCCUAAGGUAGCGAAAUUCCUUGUCGGGUAAGUUCCGACCCGCACGAAAGGCGUAACGAUUUGGGCACUGUCUCAACGAGAGACUCGGUGAAAUCAUAGUACCUGUGAAGAUGCAGGUUACCCGCGACAGGACGGAAAGACCCCGUGGAGCUUUACUGUAGCCUGAUAUUGAAAUUCGGCACAGCUUGUACAGGAUAGGUAGGAGCCUUUGAAACGUGAGCGCUAGCUUACGUGGAGGCGCUGGUGGGAUACUACCCUAGCUGUGUUGGCUUUCUAACCCGCACCACUUAUCGUGGUGGGAGACAGUGUCAGGCGGGCAGUUUGACUGGGGCGGUCGCCUCCUAAAAGGUAACGGAGGCGCUCAAAGGUUCCCUCAGAAUGGUUGGAAAUCAUUCAUAGAGUGUAAAGGCAUAAGGGAGCUUGACUGCGAGACCUACAAGUCGAGCAGGGUCGAAAGACGGACUUAGUGAUCCGGUGGUUCCGCAUGGAAGGGCCAUCGCUCAACGGAUAAAAGCUACCCCGGGGAUAACAGGCUUAUCUCCCCCAAGAGUUCACAUCGACGGGGAGGUUUGGCACCUCGAUGUCGGCUCAUCGCAUCCUGGGGCUGUAGUCGGUCCCAAGGGUUGGGCUGUUCGCCCAUUAAAGCGGUACGCGAGCUGGGUUCAGAACGUCGUGAGACAGUUCGGUCCCUAUCCGUCGUGGGCGUAGGAAAUUUGAGAGGAGCUGUCCUUAGUACGAGAGGACCGGGAUGGACAUACCUCUGGUGUACCAGUUGUCGUGCCAACGGCAUAGCUGGGUAGCUAUGUGUGGACGGGAUAAGUGCUGAAAGCAUCUAAGCAUGAAGCCCCCCUCAAGAUGAGAUUUCCCAACUUCGGUUAUAAGAUCCCUCAAAGAUGAUGAGGUUAAUAGGUUCGAGGUGGAAGCAUGGUGACAUGUGGAGCUGACGAAUACUAAUCGAUCGAAGACUUAAUCAA